AAUUGCUUCUGGCAGCGGAUCUGGACGUGACCAGGAUUUGGCUGUUACCUUUUGACUGACAGGUCUUUUCACUCCCAGACAGGAGAGCUGUCCAUUUUUUGGCUGAAAAUCCCAAGUUAUGUCUCUGUUGCUCGUGACGAACCACCGAAGGAUGAGAAGUUGCUCCUAAAUUAAAAAAACACGCAAACAAGCCAGCCAUCAUGGGUUUAGUGAUUUCCAGCGAUGGUGCAUCCGCAGCAACGUGGAGUGAGUUGUUCCAAUGGUUAAUUAUGCUGAUGAAGUCAAUGGAGUUACUGUAAACUCAGUUUAUACCAGUGUGACUGAAUACAAAAUUUGGCCUAGUUACCAGAAAAGGGUAGCACUUUGAAGUCGCUGUAUUUCUUUAAAUAAAAUUAUUCUCCUGUGAAAGA
Dromaius novaehollandiae (emu) is the source of this 410-nucleotide long non-coding RNA. RefSeq lists it as uncharacterized. Lineage: Eukaryota; Metazoa; Chordata; Aves; Casuariiformes; Dromaiidae. The record is from RefSeq and is a predicted model, not a curated record. The transcript is spliced from 2 exons.